GCAGGGCCGUCAUUUCGGCGCGGGAAAAUGGAAAAAGAAAAAGGAAAGAUGGUUUUUUCCGACGUAGGCUUGCUUUCGGUUUGGUUUUUCGGAAUUUUUUCUUUUUUUGACGGUCGUGUUUUUAGUUCUUCUUUUUUUUUUUCUUUUUGGUCGUAGCCGUGUUUUCAGUUGGUGAAGCGGAUUUAAUAAGGUUUUGGAGUCCAUUCCUCCACACACGGAGAGAGAGAGAGAGAGAAGAGAGAGAGAGAAAGAGAGAGACUUUUCAGAUAGAGAGGAGACUUUUUGGAGAGAGAGAGAGAGGAGCUGUGCAGCAUUGAAGUGAUCUGAAGAGGGGGGGGAGAGAUCUGGAGAAGAAGGUGAGCUGCUACUGCUCCCGAUCGCGUUCUGAUCGAUCGUCUUUGUUCGUGGGAGGAAAUACUUUGUAGCUUUCGGUGUGUUCUCGCCGAAGCCUUGACCUUUGCGGUUCAUUUGUAUCCGAAGGCUUAUAGGUGAACCGACGGACCGCCUACAUAGAUAUUUCCAGUAUCGUAUGAUUUGCGGCUCAGUUUCCUUUAUCCGUAACGUUUACCUAGAAAUCGGGGAAAUUACCAUUUUGAGCCUUCCGGUUGCGCGAAAAAGGACCAAUUUUUGUGUAUUUAUGGCUUAUGCCGGUAGCGUUACAUCGCAAGGGUUUUUCUGUGUUAGAUCAGAUACGAGAGUGGAAGAAGCGUAGCUCUCUUGAAGUUUCUAUAAUAGCCUUUAAAGCCCAUUUGCUGCUCUAUUUUGUUA
Molecule: long non-coding RNA, 768 nt
Organism: Syzygium oleosum
Lineage: Eukaryota; Viridiplantae; Streptophyta; Magnoliopsida; Myrtales; Myrtaceae
Exons: 2
Source: RefSeq, a predicted model, not a curated record